RNAcentral lists this ribosomal RNA (505 nucleotides) under uncultured Dysgonomonas sp. RNAcentral describes it as "partial 16S ribosomal RNA". Lineage: Bacteria; Pseudomonadati; Bacteroidota; Bacteroidia; Bacteroidales; Dysgonomonadaceae. The record is from RNAcentral.
CACGGAGUUAGCCGAUGCUUAUUCGUAUGGUACUUGCAAUAGGUUACACGUAACCUUUUUACUCCCAUACAAAAGAAGUUUACAACCCGUAGGGCAGUCAUCCUUCACGCGACUUGGCUGGUUCAGACUCUCGUCCAUUGACCAAUAUUCCUCACUGCUGCCUCCCGUAGGAGUCUGGACCGUGUCUCAGUUCCAGUGUGGGGGAUAAACCUCUCAGUUCCCCUAUCCAUCGUUGCUUUGGUGAGCCGUUACCUCACCAACUGGCUAAUGGAACGCAUGCCCAUCUUAUACCGAUUAAUCUUUAGCAAAUAUUACCAUGCGGUAGCCCUGCAUUAUGGGGUAUUAAUCCGAAUUUCUCCGGGCUAUCCCCCUGUAGAAGGUAGGUUGCAUACGUGUUACUCACCCGUGCGCCGGUCGUCAGCAAUGUAUUGCUACAUCCUGCUACCCCUCGACUUGCAUGUGUUAGGCCUGUCGCUAGCGUUCAUCCUGAGCCAGGAUCAAAACU